This 433-nucleotide long non-coding RNA is filed under the name Glycine max (soybean). Its description in RNAcentral is "long non-coding RNA (GMAX_LNC003636)". The record is from RNAcentral. Lineage: Eukaryota; Viridiplantae; Streptophyta; Magnoliopsida; Fabales; Fabaceae.
ACUUCGAGGACAACCACUUAAUCUUCUCUCUAUCAAUGCCGCCGUGAGAUAUAGCUUCACCUUCCACAUGGUUUCUUUUUCCAAAUCUGAGAUCCAUUCCCCCUUUUUUCCAUGGUUUCUUUUUCCAGAUCUAACAUGGUGACUUUGUCCUCUUCUUCUCUUUGCACCGACCUCCUCCCCCUACACUUUGUCCCAGUUGGUAAAAAAAGGGAAAAUAUGACAAAGAUGAAGAUCCGAAACGAGAACAAGCUACGGAAACUAGAACCACCUCUGCCUCCUCUCGUGGCAAUCGUCAUUGGAUCUUGAACUUAGCAUCGAAGAACAUUGCUUUGGUAACUAUGGAGAGCAUAGUCAGAUCCAAGAAUUUGAAGAAUUUGUGUUAAAAAGGUGGGCUAGUAAUGGUCUUCAGCCUGAAUCCUAGGACAAAUCUGGG